CCGGCGUGGCUGUGGCCGAGGCUGGGUCACGGACUGCCCGUACCCGGUGGAAGCAAGGGAAGGCCGUGUUUAGAUUGCGGAAAAUGAGGGCUCUGCGGCCGUCUCAGAACCAUGUGGCUGUCGUACUAGGAGGAAGUCCAAGGGAACCUUGUGGAGAUGCCACUCCAUGCAGGAGGACUGAAGAACAUAGCUAAAAUCCAGGAUCAAAACUUUGGGGAUAUAACUUCAAUCAAGCUAAUCCAGCUGAAAACACAGACAUCAUUGAGCAGACAGAAGCCAUCCCUGGCCAAAUUCCUGGCCCAUACUUUUGUGAGCAAGUGAAAUGGUUGCUGUUUGAGUCAUUAGAUUUGGGGCUGGUUUGUUAUGUACCAAAAGCACUGUAGAUCAUCUAGAAUGCUAGGUAAACAUGGCCCAAAUGUGAUUAUGCAGUAGUAAUACUAUUUUUAUCCAGGUUGCCAGAAGAGGCAGCCUCAGCUCUUUAUUACUUUCUUCUUCUCCUACCCUUUUCUCACCUCAUUCUCACAAAUCCAUUUUCUGUGUUAGAAACUACAGCCCAUACCUCCUCUAUCCGGUGGCCCUUGCUUUGCUUUUUAUUGAGCUAUAAGUAGAAGAGGGUGUGGGACCAUACUGUUAGGCUCCAGUCUAAUCUGCAAGGGGAUUUCCCCCCUACAGUAAUGGGGUGGGGGGAGGCUACCUACUAGAAAGAGUUACAAAAAUGAUGCUUUGUUAAUUUUUUCUCAUGUGCUUUGUUGUUUUAACAAUUUUAUAGUUGUUCAACUAUAGCUGGCUAACUGAUCUAAAGAUAAUGAAGCGAUGACUAUAUUUAGUCUUCUUGACUAUACCUAGCCAGGGAACUGAGACCCUACAUUUGAUGACAGUAAGAAAGUAAGACAAUGGGCAAGCAAGCAAGCAAGAGAUUAGAAGGAAUGAUGGUUCGCCAUAGCAGGUCAGAUAGAUACUCUAAGGGAACUUUGAACUAUGAAGGAAAAUUGACUCUAUAAAAGGAGGAUGAUGUUUUGUUAUCAUAAUAAUACACCAAAGCCUAUACUAUUGCCUCAGCACUCCAGUGAUCUUGGUUAUUUUGUAACAUUGCUGUUUGGAAGUGGUAGUUUGAAGAACAUGGUCUCCGGAUUGGGUCUUUGCCAUUGGAUACCUUUUGGGUCCACCUGCAAGGAGAAGUGGGCAACUUUCUUCUCACCUAGAGUUCUUGUUAAGAGCCUCAUUUCCUGGAAAGCCUCAUUUAGGCUGACUCUUAACGAAAGUGGCACUGCCCUUAACCAGCAAGUGCAUAGAUCACUCUAAGUACUUGUCUAGGAACACAAUGUUGGACUCAUUGCCAUUUGAGUCCCAUAAAACACUAGCUUGAGAUACUGCUGCCUAGCAGGAAGACCAAACUUGUGCAGUUUAGGGCACCAUCAAAGCAAGAAAAAACAAAAAAUAAGGAAAAAAAUAUUUAGGGGAAUGAUUUUAGCAUUUGAUAAUUUGUUAAUAUGAAAAAAAUCAAACUAUUGUUGGAAUUCCUUUUACUUCUUUUACUCUUCUUUUAUUUUGACUUUUGUAUGUAUAUAUAUGUGAGAGAAUGGUGGUAAGAAGUGGGGAGAACCAAUAUAACUUUUCAGAAGUUAGGUCGAAUAAAGGUCUUAAAUGGGUUCAGAUUAAUGGUAACAGAUUAAUGGAAGCCUGUCUCAGGUACAAGCAGUGUAUCCAUUUUUCUUUUAGAAACUCUAUAAUCUAUCACCGAUAGGUACUCGUUACAACCUAUCUAUUUUGGGCUCAGUAGAAAGGCUUUUACCAAUUGAAGUUAGGCCAUCAACCUGUAUGAAGACAAUGUAAGAAACAUCACAGUGGAAGUUAUGACUAUUUACUGUAGUGCUGAAGAUGUCACUUCAUUCAGAUUCAUUGGGUAUAUUUUAUGAGAACUACAGGAGACAUCUGUUUGGAUCUCAGAGCAGGUUGGACGUCUCCACACAACUGCUUUGCUUACCUGAUGGGCACUGAUCAUGAUAAUGCUUAUGUUUCUCCUUUGCACUGUCUUUCAGAAAGACUAGAACCCACUUUUCAGUCCAACUCUGAACCCUUGCAUGGGGCAUUCGAGUUAUGUGAGCCUAUCUUAACUUCCCUUUUCUUUAAUUUGAAAAUCUAUAUAUUAACUGUUUUCAUUAUAAAUGUAAUGCAUAUUUAGUGAAAAUUUACAAAGGUAUACAAAUGAAUGAAAAAUAUGAAUCAUGAUGUAAUUUUGAUGCAUAGCCUCAGAUUAUG
Molecule: long non-coding RNA, 2259 nt
Organism: Neogale vison (American mink)
Lineage: Eukaryota; Metazoa; Chordata; Mammalia; Carnivora; Mustelidae
Exons: 3
Source: RefSeq, a predicted model, not a curated record